Clostridium intestinale is the source of this 76-nucleotide regulatory RNA element. It matches the Rfam family "S10-Clostridia ribosomal protein leader". The record is from Rfam. Lineage: Bacteria; Bacillati; Bacillota; Clostridia; Eubacteriales; Clostridiaceae.
AUACAGCGAUGAUUCAAGAGGUUGCCGGACUUCCGGGUAAUUCUUGUUGAGCACGUUAGAAUCUAGAAUUCGACGA